RNAcentral lists this ribosomal RNA (497 nucleotides) under uncultured bacterium. RNAcentral describes it as "partial 16S ribosomal RNA". It matches the Rfam family "Bacterial small subunit ribosomal RNA", at positions 28 to 507 of the family's 1533-position model. The record is from RNAcentral.
GAUGAACGCUGGCGGCGUGCCUAAUACAUGCAAGUCGAGCGAACAGACGAGGAGCUUGCUCCUCUGACGUUAGCGGCGGACGGGUGAGUAACACGUGGAUAACCUACCUAUAAGACUGGGAUAACUUCGGGAAACCGGAGCUAAUACCGGAUAACAUGUUGAACCGCAUGGUUCAACAGUGAAAGACGGUCUUGCUGUCACUUAUAGAUGGAUCCGCGCCGCAUUAGCUAGUUGGUAAGGUAACGGCUUACCAAGGCAACGAUGCGUAGCCGACCUGAGAGGGUGAUAGGCCACACUGGAACGGAGACACGGUCCAGACUCCUACGGGAGGCAGCAGUAGGGAAUCGUCCGCAAUGGGCGAAAGCCUGACGGAGCAACGCCGCGUGAGUGAAGAAGGUCUUCGGAUCGUAAAACUCUGUUAUUAGGGAAGAACAAAUGUGUAAGUAACUAUGCACGUCUUGACGGUACCUAAUCAGAAAGCCACGGCUAACUACGUG